RNAcentral lists this ribosomal RNA (368 nucleotides) under uncultured organism. RNAcentral describes it as "bacterial LSU rRNA". It matches the Rfam family "Bacterial large subunit ribosomal RNA", at positions 2099 to 2465 of the family's 2925-position model. The record is from RNAcentral.
CUUGACUGUAGCUUGAAAUUGGGUUCGGGCUCUUCUUGCGCAGCCUAGGUGGGAGGCGUUGAAAGUUUUCUUUUGGGAAAACCGGAGCCAACAUUGAGAGACCACUCUGGAAGAGCUAGAAUUCUAAUGGCGUUCCUUGAAGCAGGACGCUUGACAGUUUCAGGUGGGCAGUUUGACUGGGGCGGUCACCUCCUAAAAGGUAACGGAGGUGUGCAAAGGUUCCCUCAGGCUGGACGGAAAUCAGCCGUAGAGUGUAAAGGCAGAAGGGAGCUUGACUGCAAGACCUACAAGUCGAGCAGGGGCGAAAGCCGGCCUUAGUGAUCCGACGGUUCCAUGUGGAAGGGCCGUCGCUCAACGGAUAAAAGUUA